GAUGAACGCUGGCGGCGUGCCUAAUACAUGCAAGUCGAGCGAACAGACGAGGAGCUUGCUCCUCUGACGUUAGCGGCGGACGGGUGAGUAACACGUGGAUAACCUACCUAUAAGACUGGGAUAACUUCGGGAAACCGGAGCUAAUACCGGAUAAUAUAUUGAACCGCAUGGUUCAAUAGUGAAAGACGGUUUUGCUGUCACUUAUAGAUGGAUCCGCGCCGCAUUAGCUAGUUGGUAAGGUAACGGCUUACCAAGGCGACGAUGCGUAGCCGACCUGAGAGGGUGAUCGGCAACACUGAAACUGGGACACGGUCCAGACUCCAACGGGAGGCAGAAGUAGGGAAUCUUCCGAAAGGGGCGAAAGCCUGACGGAGCAACGCGGCGUGAGUGAUGAAGGUCUUCGAUUCGAAAACCCCUUUUAUUAGGGAAAAACAAAUGUGUAAGUACCUAUGAAGUUUUGGACGUGACCUAAUCAGAAAGCACGGCUAACUACGU
RNAcentral lists this ribosomal RNA (495 nucleotides) under uncultured bacterium. RNAcentral describes it as "partial 16S ribosomal RNA". It matches the Rfam family "Bacterial small subunit ribosomal RNA", at positions 28 to 506 of the family's 1533-position model. The record is from RNAcentral.